Molecule: long non-coding RNA, 647 nt
Filed under: Nicotiana benthamiana
Lineage: Eukaryota; Viridiplantae; Streptophyta; Magnoliopsida; Solanales; Solanaceae
Description: long non-coding RNA (NBEN_LNC030944)
Source: RNAcentral
GGCCCCCUAAAUCCCCUUAUUUCUAUCAUUUCCGCCACCUUUUGUUCCCUCAUCUCUCAACUCUCUGUUAACCUAACCCUAAAACCUAGCCGACGUCACCAGCAAAACUCUCCGUCUAUGGGGUUUCUCUGUAUUUUGCGGCCCUUGUUAGCCUGCUAUCUCUUCUUCUUGUUCGACUUUGUUGAUCUAUGAGAGAAUCUCAAAGAGAUUCAACCUGGUUUUGCUCAGAACUUUUUCACAAGCCUGUCUAUUGCCAUAAUCAAUGGGAUUAGACUGAUUUCCUUUCGUCUCCGUCAUUUCCAAAAACCCUAGUCCUAUGACAACUUGGGUCUUUUCAAACCCUUGAAGAUCUGAAACGUUCUGAGUAUUAUUUGGUAUUUUUCUACCGAAAAAAUUUCUAUUUCUCUUAUCAUUAUUUGAUUUCAGUGAUUUCUAAGAACUAGUGUUCGUCCUAAGUUCUCUUCAAACAAUUUUCAAACUUUCAAGUGUUUAAUCUGACUAUUCUUUACAGGUUUGAUUAGUUUUUGUGUAUAUUCUUAAAUCCUAGGUCUUUCUGUUUUCGGUACCAGUUAUUUCAGUGAUUUUCCCCUUAUUUAUUUAUUUAUUUAUUUAUGUCAAUCCAAUAUACUGAUUGAUUCUUAUUUGGG